This 373-nucleotide ribosomal RNA is filed under the name uncultured organism. RNAcentral's name for it is "bacterial SSU rRNA". It matches the Rfam family "Bacterial small subunit ribosomal RNA", at positions 526 to 896 of the family's 1533-position model. The record is from RNAcentral.
CAGAGGGGGCAAGCGUUGUUCGGAAUUACUGGGCGUAAAGGGCGCGUAGGCGGCCUGCUAAGUCGAACGUGAAAUCCCUGGGCUCAACCCAGGAACUGCGUCCGAUACUGGUUGGCUUGAAUCCGGGAGAGGGGAUGUGGAAUUCCAGGUGUAGCGGUGAAAUGCGUAGAUAUCUGGAGGAACACCGGUGGCGAAGGCGACAUCCUGGACCGGUAUUGACGCUGAGGCGCGAAAGCCAGGGGAGCAAACGGGAUUAGAUACCCCGGUAGUCCUGGCCCUAAACGAUGAAUGCUUGGUGUGGCGGGUAUCGAUCCCUGCCGUGCCGAAGCUAACGCAUUAAGCAUUCCGCCUGGGGAGUACGGUCGCAAGGCUG